GCUUUGAGCUAAAAAGCUUAGGAAAGUCGAUUGACGGGAGAAAAUUAAACGCUUGCAAGCAGAACCCCCGGCGGCCAGAAGGAGGCGUGGCACGUAGAUGGAAACGCACCGCCGGCUCGGGCGAGACCAAGCCCAAGGCUAAGGGCCGCGGCGGCAAGCCAAAGUCCGAAAAACCGCAGGCCGACGACGAGGAGCAACGCAAGCCCAAACAGCCCUGGCCAAAAAUAGAACAAAGAAGAAUUCGCUCCUCGCGGCGAGCCCUGGAGGCGCGGCCGCGGAGGGAUUUCUUAAAGGGGUUUGUCGUGGUUCAAGUCGAGACAGCGAGCACAGCUGGUCUGGCUCGGAGCCGUCGUUCGGCAGCAGCGAGCACGCCAAACAAAGCUGCUUCUCAGCUCAUUCAAGAAUUGUUCUUUGCUCUUUGCCGGUUUGCCUAAAUUUACGUGAAUUGUUUGUCUGCUUUCCAGAAUGUGACUGCUUUGUAGAAGCGAGUGCCGACGCCGACUUGCAGCAUUCCCUGCAUUCCGCGCGCACGAUUCCUUCAACUCGUCUAAUUUGGACCUGUUGCGAAACAACAGCUGCGGCUCGACGAGCUGGAUACGGACAAGCUUCUAAAUCUUCUGCGCUCUGGCGAGGUUGGCUGCAUCGACGACCGCGCAUCGUCAGCGCAGUUGCCGACGCCAAGGUUUGGCUUUUCCUCGGGAAAUGUGGUCAGCUGGAGCCUAGUGGUGGCAUCAGCGGCCGCACCGUCAAGUAGUUGGCCCAAGAAGGACAGUCUCGACCUCCGGAUGCGUCGAUUUCUGUGGCAGACCCAAAUUUGAGAAGGUCCACUCGCAGGAACAACCCUUGCCAAGCUGCGCUGUCGCAGCAUCAUGGCGGAGACUGUCGAGACGACGCGGACGAGCUGCACAGGCCGAGCACCAGAUUCUGUGACUAGAAGGCGCCGCUGGGGGACUGGGCGUCAGCGGCGCCGAUGUGAUGGCCUCGACUUGGCGUCCACAUGGCCCUGAAGUCAAGGUUGCCCUACGCCUGCUCGAGCGAACAACCUGGCGGCACGGGCCAAGAACCUGUGCCUCCGAGAUUCGAGCGUAGAGGCGCCGCCCAGCGACAGUUGUUGAAGAGACUCGACGCCGCCGUUUCCGCAACGCUGUGAACGUGGCGCCGAAAACUUGCGCUGAAUGCUGAGAAUCCUGCGUGCCAUCAAGCGGUCGCUGUAUUCAGUUAAAAACCCUGUAAUAAUUUCGUUUCUUUGCUAAUAAAAUUCAU
Molecule: long non-coding RNA, 1263 nt
Organism: Cloeon dipterum
Lineage: Eukaryota; Metazoa; Arthropoda; Insecta; Ephemeroptera; Baetidae
Exons: 3
Source: RefSeq, a predicted model, not a curated record